AGGGUUUUGAACUUCUCCUGAUUCUUAGUUCUCUUUCUCUUCUACUUCUUCCUCCUCCUCCUCCUUCUCUGCCACUAUCCCCACCUUCAUUCCAGGGUUUAAGAAAACCCUACUUCUCUCAAUCCAUGGAGUCUCUCGCUAAACUUCAGCACCGUCACCAACCCUUUAACCUCUCACUCAAUCCCCACCGUCCGUCAUUCCCAAAACCAAUUUCUUCCUUCAGACCCCCAAGCUCAUCACCGCCUUUCAACUUCACUUCCCUCACUAUCAGAGCCUCGUCCUCGUCCUCUUCACCAUCCUCCGCCGACCCACCUCACCAAAACCCCCAAAACCCUAAACCCUCACCCUUCCAAACCCUAGCCCCUCUCGCCUCCCCUCUCCUCAAGACCACUUGCGCCGCCAUAGCCGCAGCCGCAUUCUUCUUCAUGCGCUUCCACAACAGAACCGCAGUGGCCUCCCCCACAGCCGCGCCUUCUACUGUGGAGCCCAGAGAAGAAGUUUCGUCCACUGACAGCGUUACGGUCGAAGAGAAAGAGAGGCUCAUUGAAGAGCAAUUGAGCCAAAACCCCGACGAUGUUGAAGCGCUGAGGUCAUUGAUGGAGGUUAGGAUCAAAGCCCACAAAUUGACCGAAGCGAUUCAGGUGCUGGACCGCUUGAUCGAGCUCGAACCUGAAGACUAUGAGUGGCAAUUGCUGAAAGCCAAUGUUCAUAGCUACAUGGGUGAGUUUGAACUCGCUACCAGUGAGUUCGAGGAGAUUUUGGCCAAAGACCCUUUGCGAGUUGAGGCCUAUCAUGGUCUUGUGAUGUCUGCUUCGCAAUCCCCCGAGAAAUUGGAGAAUGUGGUGACGAGAGUGGAAAAGGCAAUGGAGGGUUGCAAGAAGCUGGGGAACAAGUCGGAUGUGAGGGAUUUUAAGCUGUUAAUUGCCCAAAUUCGCGUGAUGGAGUCAAAUUAUUCAGAAGCUUUGAAGCUUUAUCAAGAGCUUGUGAGGGAAGAACCGAGAGAUUUCAGGCCUUAUCUGUGUCAAGGAAUCAUUUAUACUAUGUUGAGGAAGAAUAAAGAGGCUGAGAAACAGUUUGAAAAGUUUAGGAAGCUUGUUCCCAAGAACCACCCUUAUAAAGAGUAUUUCGAUGACAAUAUGUUUGCCACGAAGCUUUUUGGGCAGAAGGUGGAGAGGGAGAGAGCAGAGUCGAACAUCUGAGGGAAUUAUGUUGCUGAAUUUUAGCUCAUUCUGGUGGCUGGCUUCUGUAAUGUGGUGGUUGACUCUUGGUUUCUCUCUGCCUGUUUUUGGUUAAUGCUUUGGCUGGUAGUGUUCAUGCAAACUGUAGUCAUCAUGUGUGGCUAUUGAUGCUGUACUUGGUUCAAAGUUGUUCCACAUCUCAUUAGGGGUUGAAGUUGGUGCGAAUGUUCAUAACAGGGAAGCUGUUCGUGAUGAACUGCAGUAGUUUGUACAUGAGCAUUUUCGUAUAACUCGGAUGUGAUCAUUUGCGUUGAUGACUCAGUUUGAGCUUUAUACAUAGCAAUGUGGCAGUGGACCAGUUGUAGUUGUUAUGUUGACAGUGUGUAUGUGUAUACACAAAUUGCACAUAACUAUGAAGGUGGUGAUGAAGAUGUUGACAAUUAUGAUAUGAUUGUGUGUGUAUAAUUUGUAGCAUAUUUUGAUAUGCAGUAUGGACUGGAUCUAUUCUGGAACAAAUGCAGAUUUGAAUCUU
Prunus mume (Japanese apricot) is the source of this 1710-nucleotide non-coding RNA. Lineage: Eukaryota; Viridiplantae; Streptophyta; Magnoliopsida; Rosales; Rosaceae. The record is from RefSeq and is a predicted model, not a curated record.